RNA transcript from Camelus dromedarius (Arabian camel), 2201 nucleotides. It is a transcript of the gene named peroxisomal biogenesis factor 3, with no coding region annotated. The transcript has 14 exons. Lineage: Eukaryota; Metazoa; Chordata; Mammalia; Artiodactyla; Camelidae. The record is from RefSeq and is a predicted model, not a curated record.
GGCUGCGGCGGCGCGGCGCGGCGGCGGCGGCGACAGACAGCGCAGCUGCUCAGCUGAUAGUCCACUCCCCUUUCCCGCCCCGGUGACAAUCUCUGCGGAAUUGUGAUUUCAGGAGAGCACCCAGCAGGACCAUGGCGGUCUAGCAGGCUCGUCCGGGCCAAGUCAAAGAAACGGUUUCCUGUGAACCAUCCCCCACUACCCCUAGGCAGCCUGCACCCCCAGGGCCCGAAGAUGCUGAGAUCUACGUGGAAUUUUCUGAAACGUCACAAAAAGAAGUGCAUCUUUCUGGGCACGGUCCUCGGAGGAAUAUAUAUCUUGGGGAAAUAUGGGCAGAAGAAAAUCAGAGAAAUACAAGAAAGGGAGGCUGCAGAAUACAUUGCCCAAGCACGACGACAGUACCAUUUUGAAAGUAACCAGAGAACUUGCAAUAUGACAGUGCUGUCCAUGCUUCCCACACUGAGAGAGGCCUUAAUGCAGCAACUCAAUUCUGAGAGCCUUACAGCUCUGCUAAAAAGCAGGCCUUCAAACAAGCUAGAAAUAUGGGAAGAUCUGAAGAUAAUAAGUUUCACAAGAAGUAUCGUAGCUGUAUAUAGUACUUGUAUGCUGGUGGUUCUUUUGCGAGUCCAGUUAAACAUAAUAGGAGGAUAUAUUUACCUGGAUAAUGCAGCAGUUGGCAGAAAUGGCACCACAGUUCUUGCUCCCCCAGAUGUCCAGCAGCAGUAUUUAUCAAGUAUUCAGCACCUCCUUGGAGAUGGCCUGACAGAAUUGAUCACUGUCAUUAAACAAGCUGUGCAGAAGAUUUUAGGAAGUGUUUCUCUUAAACAUUCUUUGUCCCUUUUGGACUUGGAGCAAAAAUUAAAAGAAGUCAGAGAUCUCGUUGAGCAGCAUAAAUCUUCUUCUUGGAUUAAUAAUGAUGGAUCAAAGUCUUUGUUGUGCCAUUAUAUGAUGCCAGAUGAAGAAACUCCAUUAGCAGUUCAGGCCUGUGGGCUUUCUCCUAGAGAUGUUACCACUAUUAAACUACUCAAUGAAACUAGGGACAUGUUGGAAAGUCCAGAUUUUAGUACAGUUUUGAGUACCUGUUUAAACCGAGGAUUUAGUAGAUUGCUGGACAAUAUGGCGGAAUUCUUUCGACCUACUGAACAGGACUUGCAACAUGGUAACUCCAUGAAUAGUCUUUCCAGUGUCAGCCUGCCUUUAGCUAAAAUAAUCCCAAUAAUAAAUGGACAGAUCCAUUCAGUUUGCAGUGAAACACCUAGUCAUUUUGUUCAGGAUCUGUUGAUGAUGGAGCAAGUGAAAGACUUUGCUGCUAAUGUGUACGAAGCGUUUAGUACUCCUCAACAACUGGAGAAGUGAUUCUUUUUUCCUUCAAGAAAAACUACAGUGGAAUCCAUUUACUUAAAAAAAAAUUGAAUAAAUCAGCUAUAUAUGGGCAAUAUUAACCCAGGAUUUCAUCCAAGGAGAUUUUGAGACGGAACAGGUGUGACCUUGGAAGGAUAGAAAGCUGAUCAGCCGAAAAUUAUUACCUGGAAUCAUCUGCAUCUGUAGGGUUGUGACAGUUGAAGAGAUGACAAGCUUGGAGACGUUCCUAGACAUCAGGAAAUCAACAUGUUCACAAGGAAAUAUGCUUCAUAAAUAUCCAUCUCAGCCUGAAAAACAUCUAUAGCAGAAAAUCAUUAAGCCACCAGAAUGAGGCCAAAGGGAAAAAUGAGGCCAAAGGGAAAAGACAAUUUCUUAUUUGGAGUUUUGGUUCUCCCUCUUAAUCCCCUCCCCACUUCUGGAGAAAACAAUGAGGCAAAAUUUUUUAUACCAAGGCAAUAUGGUUAUGCAAAGGAAAUGGUGUAAUUGACAUGCUGUUUGAACAAUAACAAUUUGCUGAUGCUUCCUUGAUCUUGUAGAUACAGGAAUGGUAAUGGGUGGAAUCUAUCCUAUUAAUGUAAGAUCACUAUGAUGGUUAAUUUUAUGUGUCAACUUCACUGGGCCACUGGGUGCCCAGAUAUUUGGUUAAACAAUCUUCAGGGUGUGUUCCUGAAGGUGUUUCUAGAUGAAAUUAACAUUGGAAUAGGUAGACUGCAUAAAGCAGAUUGCUCUUCCCAAUGUGAGUGGACCUCAUCCAAUCCACUGAAGGGCUGAAUAGAAUAAAAGGCUGAUUAAGAGAGAAUUUUUUCUCUCUGCACAUCUUUGAGGUGAGACAUCAAUCUUCU